UCUUAAAUGUUUUUUUUUUUUAGGCCAAUAACCAGGACAGUGCUCCAUUGAGUCCAAAUAGUUAUCUUGCUUUGUCUCAUGAAGAAAGAAGAAGUAUAAUGAUUGCUCAGCUAUUGGCAAGAUUUGAGGGGAAUGAAACGGAGCAAGCAUUCACUGCAAACCCAACCUAGGAAGACUAUCCGGAAAGCGAAGAACCAGAAUUUGGUGUAGAUAGAAUUGGUAAUACAACUUGGUGUCACUGCGAUUGUUGCCGAACUAUGCCAACACAAGUAGAGUCUGUGUGUUGCAGGGACAUCGAGCCUGUUAGAGAAAGUAUACCAGAAGGAAGUAAUUAUAUAAUAUUUGCUCCAAAGUUUAUCUCGCAAAUAGCAACAGAAGCCCAUGUGAGACUCACUAAUAAUUUCAGGUACCUUGAGGAAAGACCACUUGUAGAUGCCGAUAAUAACAGGUAUUUAUAGAAACUUUAAUAUGUCUAAUAAAACAUUAAUAAAAAUAUAGAUUUAACUGACUUUUUUUAUUUAUUUUUUUCCAAUAGAAGAUUGAGGAAAACGGCUUACCGUUUAUUUAUAACUUGGAUAUACGGUUAUUUAGGAAAGGGGAACCGUAGAGUCAUCCCGUCGUGUGCUGUCAAAAAAAUUAGAGAGGUUUUCCCUGAUCCAAAUGCAACUUAUGUUGGAUUUAAAUAUUCACAGGAUUACGAUGCCGCAGAAAUGGCAUUGGAUUAAAUAAAAAUUAAUUUUUUUAUUUUA
Rana temporaria (common frog) is the source of this 749-nucleotide long non-coding RNA. RefSeq lists it as uncharacterized. The transcript is spliced from 2 exons. The record is from RefSeq and is a predicted model, not a curated record. Lineage: Eukaryota; Metazoa; Chordata; Amphibia; Anura; Ranidae.